Molecule: transfer RNA, 77 nt
Filed under: Pseudonocardia sp.
Lineage: Bacteria; Bacillati; Actinomycetota; Actinomycetes; Pseudonocardiales; Pseudonocardiaceae
Also listed under: 8 other names
Description: tRNA-Arg
Rfam family: tRNA
About the family: Transfer RNA (tRNA) molecules are approximately 80 nucleotides in length. Their secondary structure includes four short double-helical elements and three loops (D, anti-codon, and T loops).
Source: RNAcentral
CUGCCCAUAGCUCAGCUGGAUAGAGCAACGGCCUUCUAAGCCGUAGGUCACAGGUUCGACUCCUGUUGGGCAGGCCA